Molecule: transfer RNA, 72 nt
Filed under: Ovis aries (sheep)
Lineage: Eukaryota; Metazoa; Chordata; Mammalia; Artiodactyla; Bovidae
Rfam family: tRNA
About the family: Transfer RNA (tRNA) molecules are approximately 80 nucleotides in length. Their secondary structure includes four short double-helical elements and three loops (D, anti-codon, and T loops).
Source: Rfam by way of RNAcentral
UCCCUGGUGGCUCAGAAGGUAAAGCAUCUGCCUGCAAUGUGGGAGACCUGGGUUUGAUUCCUGGGUUGGGAA